Molecule: ribosomal RNA, 244 nt
Filed under: uncultured bacterium
Lineage: Bacteria
Description: partial 16S ribosomal RNA
Rfam family: Bacterial small subunit ribosomal RNA
Source: RNAcentral
AACGGAGGGAGCGAGUGUUACUCGUAUUGACUGGGUGUAAAAAGUCUGUAGAUGGGUAAAUAAGUUUUAAUUCAAAGCGCUCCGCGUACUUAUUAAAAUACUAUUUAUCUAGAAUAAAAAUGAUCAUAGCAGUGCUUUACGUGUAAAAGUGAAAUUUGUAAAAACGUAAGGAACUAACAAUUGGCGGAAGCAGCUAUAAAAUUUUUAUUGACAUUGAGAGACGAAAGCAUAGGGAGCAAACGGG